CCUACGGGAGGCUGCAGUGAGGAAUAUUGGUCAAUGGUCGGGAGACUGAACCAGCCAAGCCGCGUGAGGGAUGAAGGUACAGAGUAUCGUAAACCUCUUUUGUCAGGGAACAAAGGCUGGGACUUGUCCCCGGAUGAGUGUACCUGAAGAAAAAGCAUCGGCUAACUCCGUGCCAGCAGCCGCGGUAAUACGGGGGAUGCGAGGGUUAUCCGGAUUUAUUGGGUUAAGGGGGUGGGCGGGCGGUCUGUUAAGUCAGCGGUCAAAGCCCGGGGCCAACCCCCGGCCCGCCGUUGAAACUGGCAGUCUCGAGUUGGAGAGAAGUAUGCGGAAUGCGAGGUGUAGCGGUGAAAUGCAUAGAUAUCGCGCAGAACUCCGAUUGCGAAGGCAGCAUGCCGGCUCCACACUGACGCUGAGGCACGAAAGCGUGGGUAUCGAACAGGAUUAGAUACCCCUGAAGCC
Molecule: ribosomal RNA, 459 nt
Filed under: uncultured bacterium
Lineage: Bacteria
Description: partial 16S ribosomal RNA
Rfam family: Bacterial small subunit ribosomal RNA
Source: RNAcentral